This 776-nucleotide ribosomal RNA is filed under the name uncultured Neocallimastigales. RNAcentral describes it as "partial large subunit ribosomal RNA". It matches the Rfam family "Eukaryotic large subunit ribosomal RNA", at positions 23 to 648 of the family's 3401-position model. The record is from RNAcentral. Lineage: Eukaryota; Fungi; Neocallimastigomycota; Neocallimastigomycetes; Neocallimastigales.
AGAGAUGUGUGAUGACGCAUAUCAAUAAGCGGAGGAAAAGAAACUAACAAGGAUUCCCUUAGUAACGGCGAGUGAAGCGGGAAGAGCUCAAAUUUGAAAUCUUCAAGGUUCCACCUUGACGAAUUGUAGUUUAUAGAAGUGUUUUCUGUUAGUGGAGUGGCAAAAGUUCUUUGGAAUAGGACAUCAUAGGAGGGUGAGAAUCCCGUAUUUGGUCAUUCCUCCUAGCGUUGUGAUACACUUUCAAAGAGUCGGAUUGUUUGGGAAUGCAGUCCAAAAUGGGUGGUAAAUUUCAUCUAAAGCUAAAUAUUGGCGAGAGACCGAUAGCGAACAAGUACCGUGAGGGAAAGAUGAAAAGAACUUUGAAAAGAGAGUUAAACAGUACGUGAAAUUGUCAAAAAGGGAAGCGUUUGACACCAGUGUUGUUUUUCCGAAAAUCAAUUACGAAUGUUUUAUUUUUGAAGAAGUUAUGACUUCAUCGGCUUGCUUCUCUCUUUAUGAAACUUUCUUAAUGCACUUUUCGGUUAACAAGUCAACAUCAAUUUCUUUUGUUGUAAAAGGGUAUGAGGAAGGUGGCUUUCUUUUCGGAGAAAGUGUUUAUAGCCUUGUACCUCUGCAAUCGGAGAGAUUGAGGUCUGCAGCGUAGAUCCUUCGGGGUUAGAUACAUUUGUGCUAAGUUAUAGCUUUUCAUAGACAACUUGUUGACUAUGUUAGUCUUGUAGCUUACUCGCUUAUGCUAUUUUACCUACGCUUAGGAUGUUGACGAUCAGCUGAGCGCG